This is a microRNA precursor of Nomascus leucogenys (northern white-cheeked gibbon), 81 nucleotides long. Ensembl annotates it as microRNA 107. Its record names the gene MIR107. NCBI's taxonomy places the organism in Eukaryota, Metazoa, Chordata, Mammalia, Primates, Hylobatidae. The record is from Ensembl.
CUCUCUGCUUUCAGCUUCUUUACAGUGUUGCCUUGUGGCAUGGAGUUCAAGCAGCAUUGUACAGGGCUAUCAAAGCAUAGA